Molecule: transfer RNA, 72 nt
Filed under: Prasinococcus sp. CCMP1194
Lineage: Eukaryota; Viridiplantae; Prasinodermophyta; Palmophyllophyceae; Prasinococcales; Prasinococcaceae
Description: tRNA-Asn
Rfam family: tRNA
About the family: Transfer RNA (tRNA) molecules are approximately 80 nucleotides in length. Their secondary structure includes four short double-helical elements and three loops (D, anti-codon, and T loops).
Source: RNAcentral
UCCUCAGUAGCUCAGUGGUAGAGCAUUCGACUGUUAAUCGAACUGUCGUAGGUUCAAGUCCUACCUGGGGAG